This 117-nucleotide ribosomal RNA is filed under the name Lepisosteus oculatus (spotted gar). The record is from RNAcentral. Lineage: Eukaryota; Metazoa; Chordata; Actinopteri; Semionotiformes; Lepisosteidae.
GCCAGCAGCUAUAUCAACGCAACGCACAACUGGCAACCCACUGAAGGUAAGCAGGUGUGAGCCUGGCCAGUACUUGAAAGGGAGACCUCCUGGGAAGAACUAAGGUUGCUGCUGAAA